GGGGGGUGGCUGUGAUGUCACCGCUGGGAACCGGCGCCCGGCACUGAGUCACGGCGCGGCCACGGCACCCGACGGGGCCGUUCCCACGCUGUCCCCAUUCAUUCAUUCAUUGCUUUACUCAUUCAUUCAUUCGUUGCUUUACUCAUUCAUUCAUUCGUUUGUUUGUCCCCUCCCUCCCUCCGUCGCUCCCCGCCCCCCGCGUGUCCGCGGCUCCUCCCGGUCCGGGUGCCUCCAGAUCCAUCUGUCCCAGUUUAUCCCAGUCCCGGUGCCUCCAGAUCCAGUUGUCCCAGUUUAUCCCAGUCCUGCUUCCUCCAGAUCCAGUUGUCCCGGGUUAUCCUAGUGCCUCCAGAUCCAGUUGUCCCAGUUUAUCCCAGUCCUGGUGCCUCCAGAUCCAGUCGUCCCAGUUCAUCCCAGUCCCAGUGCCUGCAGAUCCAGUCGUCCCAGUUCAUCCCAGUCCCAGUGCCUGCAGAUCCAGUUGUCCCGGGUUAUCCCAGUGCCUCCAGAUCCAGUCGUCCCAGUUCAUCCCAGUCCCGGUGCCUCCAGAUCCAGUUGUCCCGGAUUAUCCCGGUGCGUUCAGCUCCAGUUAUCCCAGUUUAUCCCAGUCCCGGUGCCUCCAGACCCGGUUGUCCCAGGUUAUCCUGAUGCCUCCAGAUCCAGUUGUCCCAGGUUAUCCCGGUCCCGGUGCCUCCAGACCCGGUUAUCCCGGGCUAUCCUGGUCCUCCAGACCCGGUUGCCCCGGGUUAUCCCAGUCCUGGUGCCUCCAGACCCAGUUGCCCCGGGUUAUCCUGGUCCCCCAGACCCGGUUGUCCCGGGUUAUCCCGGUCCCGGUGCCUCCAGACCCGGUUAUCCCGGGCUGUCCCUCUCCCGGCUUCUCCCUUUUCCCAUCACCACGCGGCGCUGCCGGCGCCGCCGCGCGCAGUAAACACUGCGUGUCGCCAUGGCGACGGCGUUCCGCGCCGCUGACGUCACCGCGUCCGGCGUCCUUUGUUUGCGUCGCCCGGCAACCGCCGUCCCCAUGGUAACGGGAGGAGAGGGGGGGCGGG
RNAcentral lists this long non-coding RNA (1043 nucleotides) under Numida meleagris (helmeted guineafowl). RNAcentral describes it as "lncRNA (ENSNMEG00000006343.1)". Lineage: Eukaryota; Metazoa; Chordata; Aves; Galliformes; Numididae. The record is from RNAcentral.